This 274-nucleotide ribosomal RNA is filed under the name uncultured bacterium. RNAcentral describes it as "partial 16S ribosomal RNA". It matches the Rfam family "Bacterial small subunit ribosomal RNA", at positions 523 to 796 of the family's 1533-position model. The record is from RNAcentral.
AUACGGAGGGUGCAAGCGUUAUUCGGAAUCACUGGGCGUAAAGGACGCGUAGGCGGGUUGGCAAGUCAGAUGUGAAAUCCUACAGCUUAACUGUAGAACUGCAUUUGAAACUGCUAAACUAGAGUAUGGGAGGGGGAGAUGGAAUUAGUGGUGUAGGGGUAAAAUCCGUAGAUAUCACUAGGGAUACCGAAAGCGAAGGCGAUCUCCUGGAACAUAACUGACGCUAAGGCGUGAAAGCGUGGGGAGCAAACAGGAUUAGAAACCCUAGUAGUCC